UUCAACGGUGUGAGUCAGCGGCCUCCGGGGGCUCCCCCCGGGCGGUAGAGGUAACACUCUUACGCGCCACAUGUCUGAAUCCUUUUUUUACGAGCACCUUUCGUUCUCCUUCGGUGGGGCAACCUGCCGUUGGAACUUAUCAAAACCUUUUUUUGCAUCUAGCAUUACCUGUUCAGAUACAAACAAUCGUUACAACUUUCAACAAUGGAUCUCUUGGCUCUGGCAUCGAUGAAGAACGCAGCGAAAUGCGAUAAGUAGUGUGAAUUGCAGAAUUCAGUGAAUCAUCGAAUCUUUGAACGCACAUUGCGCCCCUUGGUAUUCCAUGGGGCAUGCCUGUUCGAGCGUCAUCUACACCCUCAAGCUCUGCUUGGUGUUGGGCGUCUGUCCCGCCUCUGCGCGUGGACUCGCCCCAAAUUCAUUGGCAGCGGUCUUUGCCUCCUCUCGCGCAGCACAUUGCGCUUCAGAGGGGUGUGGGCCGCGUCCACGAAGCAACAUUAUCGUCUUUGACCUCGGAUCAGGUAGGGAUACCCGCUGAACUUAAGCAUAUCAAUAAGCGGAGGAA
This 562-nucleotide ribosomal RNA is filed under the name Microsphaeropsis arundinis. RNAcentral describes it as "eukaryotic LSU rRNA". The stretch from base 194 to 347 matches the Rfam family "5.8S ribosomal RNA". Lineage: Eukaryota; Fungi; Ascomycota; Dothideomycetes; Pleosporales; Didymellaceae. The record is from RNAcentral.